AAAAUCGAAAUCGGUAACGUCUGAUAAUGUCACUUUACCUUUAGAUUUAUUCCCAACCCGACGGAGACACAGUGUCCGUUAUCUGCAAAGGCGCAAGCGGGGCAAGAGACGGUGAGAAUUGAGAUUGCGUAGCGAUAGUCAAGUUUCACUGGAAGUUCUUGUUGAAAAUGUAUCAAUGCUUGUCAAAAUGCCGUAUGUUUAUUAGAUAUUCAGCAGCUCUGAAAAAUGAUCAAUUUACUGGAGAAGUUUUCUAUCUGUGUGGGUGUGUAGCUCAAUAUGAACAAUUAAAAAAUUAAAGUAUACAUCCAAAUGAAUAAUUGAAAUACACCAAACAAAUUAUGAA
Dendroctonus ponderosae (mountain pine beetle) is the source of this 343-nucleotide long non-coding RNA. RefSeq lists it as uncharacterized. The transcript is spliced from 2 exons. NCBI's taxonomy places the organism in Eukaryota, Metazoa, Arthropoda, Insecta, Coleoptera, Curculionidae. The record is from RefSeq and is a predicted model, not a curated record.